UGACCUAGCGGCGGACGGGUGAGUAAUGCUUAGGAAUCUGCCUAUUAGUGGGGGACAACAUUCCGAAAGGAAUGCUAAUACCGCAUACGCCCUACGGGGGAAAGCAGGGGAUCUUCGGACCUUGCGCUAAUAGAUGAGCCUAAGUCAGAUUAGCUAGUUGGUGGGGUAAAGGCCUACCAAGGCGACGAUCUGUAGCGGGUCUGAGAGGAUGAUCCGCCACACUGGGACUGAGACACGGCCCAGACUCCUACGGGAGGCAGCAGUGGGGAAUAUUGGACAAUGGGCGAAAGCCUGAUCCAGCCAUGCCGCGUGUGUGAAGAAGGCCUUUUGGUUGUAAAGCACUUUAAGCGAGGAGGAGGCUACUUAGAUUAAUACUCUNGGAUAGUGGACGUUACUCGCAGAAUAAGCACCGGCUAACUCUGUGCCAGCAGCCGCGGUAAUACAGAGGGUGCGAGCGUUAAUCGGAUUUACUGGGCGUAAAGCGUGCGUAGGCGGCUUUUUAAGUCGGAUGUGAAAUCCCUGAGCUUAACUUAGGAAUUGCAUUCGAUACUGGGAAGCUAGAGUAUGGGAGAGGAUGGUAGAAUUCCAGGUGUAGCGGUGAAAUGCGUAGAGAUCUGGAGGAAUACCGAUGGCGAAGGCAGCCAUCUGGCCUAAUACUGACGCUGAGGUACGAAAGCAUGGGGAGCAAACAGGAUUAGAUACCCUGGUAGUCCAUGCCGUAAACGAUGUCUACUAGCCGUUGGG
RNAcentral lists this ribosomal RNA (744 nucleotides) under marine sponge bacterium liquidOTU9. RNAcentral describes it as "bacterial SSU rRNA". It matches the Rfam family "Bacterial small subunit ribosomal RNA", at positions 88 to 827 of the family's 1533-position model. The record is from RNAcentral.